This is a non-coding RNA of Ciona savignyi (Pacific transparent sea squirt), 73 nucleotides long. Lineage: Eukaryota; Metazoa; Chordata; Ascidiacea; Phlebobranchia; Cionidae. The record is from Rfam.
GACCGCAUGGCCUAAUGGAUAUGGCGUGUGACUUCCAAUCAGAAGAUUGAGGGUUCGAGUCCCUCUGUGGUCU